Molecule: ribosomal RNA, 333 nt
Filed under: Cystotheca sp. SC-2017a
Lineage: Eukaryota; Fungi; Ascomycota; Leotiomycetes; Helotiales; Erysiphaceae
Description: partial 28S ribosomal RNA
Source: RNAcentral
UUGACCUCGGAUCAGGUAGGGAUACCCGCUGAACUUAAGCAUAUCAAUAAGCGGAGGAAACUGAGAAUUUAGUAGUCAGUCGCGGGCUUGGUGAGUGAGCCCUGGGUUAUUGGAGGAAAUUAAGGGAGGAAGUAACCGAAGAAGGGGGAUGGGAACCCUGGGUUCUUUGAAUGAAUUAAGGAAUGAAAAAAGCAAAGGGAAGGGCGAUGGGAACGAUGGCCGAUUGUUAUUGAUUUAAUAGAGGAAAAAAAAAAAAGAAAGAAACCGGGGAAGGAAGUAUGUUGUAGGGUUAAAUAACAAAGGAAAAGAGAGACAGAAGACAGAAGCGGCGGA